RNAcentral lists this ribosomal RNA (483 nucleotides) under uncultured bacterium. RNAcentral describes it as "partial 16S ribosomal RNA". It matches the Rfam family "Bacterial small subunit ribosomal RNA", at positions 30 to 506 of the family's 1533-position model. The record is from RNAcentral.
AUUGAACGCUGGCGGCAGGCCUAACACAUGCGAGUCGAGCGGAUGAAGGGAGCUUGCUCCUGGAUUCAGCGGCGGACGGGUGAGUAAUGCCUAGGAAUCUGCCUGGUAGUGGGGGAUAACGUCCGGAAACGGGCGCUAAUACCGCAUACGUCCUGAGGGAGAAAGUGGGGGAUCUUCGGACCUCACGCUAUCAGAUGAGCCUAGGUCGGAUUAGCUAGUUGGUGGGGUAAAGGCCUACCAAGGCGACGAUCCGUAACUGGUCUGAGAGGAUGAUCAGUCACACUGGAACUGAGACACGGUCCAGACUCCUACGGGAGGCAGCAGUGGGGAAUAUUGGACAAUAGGCGAAAGCCUGAUCCAGCCAUGCCGCGUGUGUGAAGAAGGUCUUCGGAUUGUAAAGCACUUUAAGUUGGGAGGAAGGGCAGUAAGUUAAUACCUUGCUGUUUGGACGUUACCAACAGAAUAAGCGCCGGCUAACUUCGU